CCUACGGGUGGCAGCAGUGGGGAAUAUUGGGCAAUGGACGCAACUCUUAACCAGCAAUGCCGCGUGAAUGAAGAAGGUCUUCGGAUUGUAAAGUUCUUUAAUUGGGGACGAAAAAAAUGACGGUACCCAAGGAAUAAGCCCCGGCUAAAAACGGGCCAGCAGCAGCUUGAAUACGUAGGGGGCAAGCGUUGUUCGGAAUGACUGGGCGUAAAGGGUGUGUAGGCGGUGUAGCAAAUGAGAGGUGAAAUACCGAGGGCUUAACCCAGGUGCUGCUUCUAAAACUGCUAUACUUGAGUGCAGUAGAGGAAAGUGGAAUUCCUGGUGUAGCGGUGGAAUGCGUAGAUAUUAGGAGGAACAUCAGUGGCGAAGGCGACUUUCUGGACUGUAACUGACGCUGAGGCACGAAAGUGUGGGGAGCAAACAGGAUUAGAUACCCCAGUAGUC
This 444-nucleotide ribosomal RNA is filed under the name uncultured bacterium. RNAcentral describes it as "partial 16S ribosomal RNA". It matches the Rfam family "Bacterial small subunit ribosomal RNA", at positions 338 to 795 of the family's 1533-position model. The record is from RNAcentral.